Long non-coding RNA from Brienomyrus brachyistius, 716 nucleotides. RefSeq lists it as uncharacterized. The record is from RefSeq and is a predicted model, not a curated record. Lineage: Eukaryota; Metazoa; Chordata; Actinopteri; Osteoglossiformes; Mormyridae. The transcript has 2 exons.
CUGUAGAACGUGCACGCUCAGUCACUGACGUCCACCACACUCCCAGCCACAACAGGAAGUGCAGGGGAAUCAAGCUAACUUGGUUCUUGUGGCCAAUGUGAACGCUACACCCCUCCAUAACCCGUGAGGACAGCAGUGCACAACCUGUUGCACUAUGCUUUGCCCUGCAGUCCAUGAGGUUUGGAAGAAUGCAACAUUUAGAUGGGCAUUUUAAAAAUGCAAUCAUUUGUGAAGGUAAUGCAAGGUGGAGUAUUACAGUAUCACUAGGGUGACUGGAUAAUUUAUGUGCGAGAAGACACUGAACUCUGGCAUGUUAAAGCACAAGAAAAACAGAGCAGUUUAGCCAGACAUGGGGGAAAAAAUCUUUAAAAUAGUGUGUAAAGUGUCCCCCAUGACAGUCUGUUUUCAGUCUAUCGCACAGUUUUAGUCGCAUAAAAACCAUUCAUGGCUAACAAUGUGUAAUUAUAUGGGGGGAUUUUAAAUUUGUACAAGCAAUGAAUGCUGAGGAAGAUUUCAGUGUGAAUAAAGAUGAUGUUCUGGCUCCAUUUUGUUUUGGGUUUAGCUUUGUGCAAGACAUGCACAGAUUUUUGAAAGAAAUAGUUGCCUGCAGGAAAUUUACCAUGAACUGUUGCCUCCUAAACUAAAUUAGGUGUUUUUAUUGUUUUGUUUUUUUAGGCUGUUAUCUCUUAUCUGAAAGAAAUAAACAUUUGAUUCCU